GGAUGCGAUCAUAGCAGCACUAAAGAACCGGAUCCCAUCAGAACUCCGAAGAUAAGCGUGCUUGGGUGAGAGUAGUACUAGGAUGGGUGACCUCGUGUUGCAUUCC
RNAcentral lists this ribosomal RNA (106 nucleotides) under Triticum aestivum (bread wheat). Lineage: Eukaryota; Viridiplantae; Streptophyta; Magnoliopsida; Poales; Poaceae. The record is from RNAcentral.